ACCAGGGAGGCGGGCUCCUCCUCGGCGGCGGCUGCGGAGUCGCUGCUGGGGCCCUGCGCGGCCUGCUUGCUCCGUCUCUUCUGCGCGCGCAGGGCGGGCCCAGGCCCUUGAAGAGGAGGAAGAAGAAGGAGACGGAAGAGAGGGCGGCCCGGUUCCCUUCAGCCCAGGGCCACGGUCUCCCCUCGCAGUGCGGCCCCGGGGCCUCCAUCCGGGUCAUCGCCAGCGCUAGGCCCCGGCGGCCUCGUUCCCCGAAGCAGCUGCGGAGGAGCGGCGAUGCUCCUUCUGGCCUGCUACCUGUUAAAAGAAAAGUGGUUUGUUACUGUAUAAUUACUAUUGGAGACAAUUGAUCUGAACCCUUUCCCCCUCCUGUGAAUCAUGAAUUUCGUCCGGCUUUUUGGGCGACUGAAAUCGGUUGUCAUUGGGAUGGUCCAUGUGAAAGCGCUGCCAGGAACACCAGGGAACACAUUGCCACUGGCCCAGAUCACCGAAGAAGCUUGUCGAGAUGCUGAAAUUUAUAGGGCUGCAGGACUUGUAAGAUA
Long non-coding RNA from Sceloporus undulatus (fence lizard), 539 nucleotides. RefSeq lists it as uncharacterized. NCBI's taxonomy places the organism in Eukaryota, Metazoa, Chordata, Lepidosauria, Squamata, Phrynosomatidae. The transcript is spliced from 3 exons. The record is from RefSeq and is a predicted model, not a curated record.